UACGUAGGGGGCAAGCGUUAUCCGGAAUCACUGGGCGUAAAGGGUGCGUAGGCGGCUGAUCAAGCCAGGGGUGAAAGGCAAUAGCUUAACUAUUGUAAGCCUUUGGAACUGGUCAGCUUGAGUGCAGGAGAGGAAAGCGGAAUUCCUAGUGUAGCGGUGAAAUGCGUAGAUAUUAGGAGGAACACCCGUGGCGAAGGCGGCUUUCUGGACUGUAACUGACGCUGAGGCACGAAAGCGUGGGGAGCAAACAGG
This 252-nucleotide ribosomal RNA is filed under the name uncultured bacterium. Its description in RNAcentral is "partial 16S ribosomal RNA". It matches the Rfam family "Bacterial small subunit ribosomal RNA", at positions 524 to 776 of the family's 1533-position model. The record is from RNAcentral.